Molecule: long non-coding RNA, 1136 nt
Filed under: Cervus hanglu yarkandensis (Yarkand deer)
Lineage: Eukaryota; Metazoa; Chordata; Mammalia; Artiodactyla; Cervidae
Description: lncRNA (ENSCHYG00000017197.1)
Source: RNAcentral
GGAAGACAAAACAUCUCUGUGAGAGGCAAGCAUCUCUCGGAGAACAUUGCUGUUUAUUAGUUUGACUUGGAUGGUUCCUAGCUCUACAUGAAAAUAUUGACUGAGCCUCAAUCUCUGAGAUUCUGUCUUUGCCUUCCAGGUUUUAAGAUGCUGAGUCGAGGCAGAGUCUCAGCUUCUGGAGGAGACUGUGAAGACCCCCUGAUUUCUAGUCCCCACAGGGGCCAAAAGGGACUGAUUUUUAAAGACACCAAAAUCCUCUCCUUCAUUCAAGCCCGUAUUUUGUAAUCUAUUUGCAAAGUUGCCCAGUCAUGAAAUUAAAAGACGUUUACUACUUGGAAGAAAAGCUAUGACCAACCUAGACAGCAUAUUAAAAAGCAGAGACAUUACUUUGUCAACAAAGGUCCAUCUAGUCAAGGCUAUGGUUAUUCCAGUGGUCAUGUAUGGAUAUGAGAGUUGGACUAUAAAGAAAGCUGAGCACUGAAGAAUUGAUGCUUUUGAACUGUGGUGUUGGAGAACUCUUGAGAGUCCCUUAGACAGCAAGGAGAUCCAACCAGUCCAUCCUAAAGGAGAUCAGUCCUGAAUAUUCAUUGGAAGGACUGAUGCUGAAGCUGAAGCUGAAACUCCAAUACUUUGGCCACCUGAUGUGAAGAACUGACUCACUGGAAAAGACCCUGAUGCUGGGAAAGAUUGAAGGUGGGAGAAGAUGGUUGGAUGGCAUCACUGACUCGAUGGACAUGAGUUUGGGUAAACUCGGAGUUGGUGACGGACAGGGAGGCCUGGCAUGCUGCAGUCCAUGGGGUGGCAAAGAGUUGGACACGACUGAGUGACUGAACUGAACUAAACUGACUUACAAAGUUCCCCAAGUGGUCCUCUCUCAGUGGCAGCGUGGAGGGUCACAAGGGCUGGAGCCUGCCCUUCUCCACAACACUUUCCCACCUCUGCCCUGGCUUCAGGAUACUCAGGCAGCCCUGGAGGUCCCGAUCCAGCCCAGUGGUGGGAGAUACCCCAGCAUGAAUUCUCAUAAGGUGAAUAGGCAUGCAUUUUUUAAACAUUUUUAAAUUUAAAAAAUUUUAAAUCUCUACUUUUAUUUUUAUUUACUUAUUUUUGGCCACACUGUGCAGCUUGCAGGAUCUUAG